GACGAACGCUGGCGGCGUGCUUAACACAUGCAAGUCGAACGGAAAGGCCCUGCUUUUGUGGGGUGCUCGAGUGGCGAACGGGUGAGUAACACGUGAGUAACCUGCCCUUGACUUUGGGAUAACUUCAGGAAACUGGGGCUAAUACCGGAUAGGAGCUCCUGCUGCAUGGUGGGGGUUGGAAAGUUUCGGCGGUUGGGGAUGGACUCGCGGCUUAUCAGCUUGUUGGUGGGGUAGUGGCUUACCAAGGCUUUGACGGGUAGCCGGCCUGAGAGGGUGACCGGCCACAUUGGGACUGAGAUACGGCCCAGACUCCUACGGGAGGCAGCAGUGGGGAAUAUUGCACAAUGGGCGGAAGCCUGAUGCAGCAACGCCGCGUGCGGGAUGACGGCCUUCGGGUUGUAAACCGCUUUCGCCUGUGACGAAGCGUGAGUGACGGUAAUGGGUAAAGAAGCACCGGCUAACUACGUGCCAGCAGCCGCGGUGAUACCUAGGGUGCGAGCGUUGUCCGGAUUUAUUGGGCGUAAAGGGCUCGUAGGUGGUUGAUCGCGUCGGAAGUGUAAUCUUGGGGCUUAACCCUGAGCGUGCUUUCGAUACGGGUUGACUUGAGGAAGGUAGGGGAGAAUGGAAUUCCUGGUGGAGCGGUGGAAUGCGCAGAUAUCAGGAGGAACACCAGUGGCGAAGGCGGUUCUCUGGGCCUUUCCUGACGCUGAGGAGCGAAAGCGUGGGGAGCGAACAGGCUUAGAUACCCUGGUAGUCCACGCUGUAAACGGUGGGUACUAGGUGUGGGGUCCAUUCCACGGGUUCCGUGCCGUAGCUAACGCUUUAAGUACCCCGCCUGGGGAGUACGGCCGCAAGGCUAAAACUCAAAGGAAUUGACGGGGCCCCGCACAAGCGGCGGAGCAUGCGGAUUAAUUCGAUGCAACGCGUAGAACCUUACCUGGGUUUGACAUGGAUCGGGAGCGCUCAGAGAUGGGUGUGCCUCUUUUGGGGUCGGUUCACAGGUGGUGCAUGGCUGUCGUCAGCUCGUGUCGUGAGAUGUUGGGUUAAGUCCCGCAACGAGCGCAACCCUUGUUCACUGUUGCCAGCACGUUAUGGUGGGGACUCAGUGGAGACCGCCGGGGUCAACUCGGAGGAAGGUGGGGAUGACGUCAAGUCAUCAUGCCCCUUAUGUCCAGGGCUUCACGCAUGCUACAAUGGCUGGUACAGAGAGUGGCGAGCCUGUGAGGGUGAGCGAAUCUCGGAAAGCCGGUCUCAGUUCGGAUUGGGGUCUGCAACUCGACCUCAUGAAGUCGGAGUCGCUAGUAAUCGCAGAUCAGCAACGCUGCGGUGAAUACGUUCCCGGG
This 1343-nucleotide ribosomal RNA is filed under the name uncultured bacterium. RNAcentral's name for it is "16S ribosomal RNA". It matches the Rfam family "Bacterial small subunit ribosomal RNA", at positions 28 to 1378 of the family's 1533-position model. The record is from RNAcentral.